Molecule: ribosomal RNA, 293 nt
Filed under: uncultured bacterium
Lineage: Bacteria
Description: partial 16S ribosomal RNA
Rfam family: Archaeal small subunit ribosomal RNA
Source: RNAcentral
GUGCCAGCCGCCGCGGUAAUACCGGCAGCCCAAGUGAUGGCCGCUGUUAUUGGGCCUAAAGCGUCCGUAGCUGGCCGCACAAGUCCGUCGGGAAAUCCGCCCGCUCAACGGGCGGCCGUCCGACGGAAACUGCACAGCUUGGGACCGGAAGGCUCGAAGGGUACGUUCGGGGUAGGAGUGAAAUCCCAUAAUCCCGCACGGACCACCGAUGGCGAAAGCACUUCGAGAAAACGGAUCCGACAGUGAGGGACGAAAGCUGGGAUCUCGAACCGGAUUAGAUACCCCGGUAGUCC